GCGGGCGUAGCCAAGUGGUUACGGCAGAGGUUUGUGGUUCCUCCAUUCGCGGGUUCAAAUCCCGUCGCUCGCC
Molecule: transfer RNA, 73 nt
Filed under: Oscillatoriales cyanobacterium SM2_1_8
Lineage: Bacteria; Bacillati; Cyanobacteriota; Cyanophyceae; Oscillatoriales
Description: tRNA-His
Rfam family: tRNA
About the family: Transfer RNA (tRNA) molecules are approximately 80 nucleotides in length. Their secondary structure includes four short double-helical elements and three loops (D, anti-codon, and T loops).
Source: RNAcentral